Alligator sinensis (Chinese alligator) is the source of this 566-nucleotide long non-coding RNA. RefSeq lists it as uncharacterized. The record is from RefSeq and is a predicted model, not a curated record. NCBI's taxonomy places the organism in Eukaryota, Metazoa, Chordata, Crocodylia, Alligatoridae. The transcript has 3 exons.
GGGACCUGGCGCCCAGCCCAGCCCCGCUGACCCUGUGGCCCCCGGGGUGGCGGGGGCCGCGUUGGGUGCACAUGUGGUGGCGUGCGCGUGUGUGUACAUCACAUGGCCCCGCCCGGUGCCAAGCCGUGACGUGGGGGGGGGAGGAGGGGCCGCGGCCUCAGGUCCCCGUGGGUAGCGGCGCCGUUCGGGACUGGGGGUGUGGGCACCGCGGCGCCAUGCGGGCAUGGGCCCUGCAGCGGGUCGACGACGGAGCUGCGCAAGGAGCGGUCGCGGGAUGCGGCGCGGAGCCGGCGCAGCCGCGAGACCGAGGUGUUCGUGCAGCUGGCGCACGCCCUGCCCCUGCCCCGCGGCCUCGGCGCCCACCUGGACAAGGCCUCGGUCAUGCGCCUCACGCUCAGCUUCCUGCGCCUGCGCCGCCUGCUCGCCCACGGGGCGUGGGCUGAGGCCGGGGAGGAGCCGGUGGCCGCCUGCUACCUGAAGGCGCUGGAUGGCUUCGUCAUGGUGCUGAGCGGCGAUGGGGACAUGAUCUACCUGUCGGACAACGUGGGCAAGCACCUGGGCCUCGG